UUUCAUUGUGGCCUGUACCUCAGUGGAACAAGGACUCUCUGCUCUUGGAACUGAUGUUUUACCCAUUCUUUAAUCUGUGAUAUUUCUCAAUUAGGCACAUUGAAAAGGAGAUAUGAAGAGGCUGAGCGGCCAUUGACUAUACAUGCAGUGUUUGAUGUCAUUGCUUGCCUCUGUCAAACCCUUCAUCCCAGAUGUAGUGUGAAACCAUCAUCUGGCUUGCUAAUUGUUCAACUUCAAGUUUGACCUAAAAUAAAGAUGGAGAAGAAAAAGUUUCAAUUCAUUGACUGUUAACAAAUCCAUUCAGCAACUUCCUAUGAAGUUUAUUGCAUGCCAUCAUUCUCUUGGCCACCACCAGUCAAUAAACAAACAAACAAACAUAUAAUAAGCAUUGAAAAAAUGAAUGAGAAGAACACAACUUUCUUCCUCCUCUUUCAAAAAAGUCACAGAAAGAAUGUUGAAAAUUUUACAAUUCUUUGGAUAUAAGUAGUUUCAAAAAUGGUUGAUAAGAAUCUUUUAGAAUCAAAUAGAAAAGUCCAUCAAAACUUGGUCCAACAUUGACAGAAUUCAAAUCCACAUUUGCCACAUGUAGAGAGAACUUGAAAUGACAUCAUACUCAGGCAACACUUGUGAGGCAAAGGACCACAUCCAUGUUUGGUGAGGAAAUAGGACAUUCCAAAGUGCAGGAAAAGCAGCAAGUUAAAAGGAAAAUGAGGAGGGUGAAUCACUCUGAUCAGAGUGAUGACAUGAAAGGUAGCUACUUUGAAGCUUAAAUUUUGAUAUAUAUAUAUAGAGAGAGAGAGAGAGAGGUUUAUGACCACAUUGCUGAGAUCAGCAAAGUUGGCUAAUAUGGGAAUAUAAUUGAGUAAAUGCAUGCCAUUCCUAUUACCCCCUUGUCCAAUUCAAUCAAAACCAUCCCAUGGGCAUCAGAUUUGCUUCUUAAUUUUCAAUUUAUACUUUUGAUGUUUCAUCAAUCGAAAUCUCGUCUUGUGAAUUCUAAUUCUUACCAUAUGUGUUUUGCCUUCUCCAAUUCAUGAAGAAAAAAAGGUGCUCCAGUGAGGGAAGUAUGUGGCAGUCAAUUUGUUCAACUAAUUAUAGGCAUUGAUGAUUGUAGAUUAAAAUAUAUUUUUCCCAUGCAUGAAGACCUGAUGUUUCCUGUCCCUGUAAUUUUGGAACUGACAACACUACUUUCUUUUUUGUGGAUAAAAUGCAGUGAAUGAUAGAAAAAAAAAUGUAUGUGCAUGUACACAUAGACAAAUUGAAAAGAAACAUGUAAGAAGCAAAUAAAUGAGUCACACAUGUGUCACACAUAGUUAAAAUUAGACUUGUAUCAUUUAUGUUGAAUAAGUGAUAAUGGCAUGUGUUUGGGAGGCACAUUGAUCUUUUGUUUUGAGCAAUAAUACAUUUAGAACCAUCUGAAAAUAAUAUACUGCUAAAUUUACAAACAUGCUGUGUCCCACACUUUAACAUGUGUGUAUGGCAAACCUUGUUAGUAUUGUUAUCACAACUACAAUAUCUAGCUUAUGAUGAUGUUAUUAAUUUGGUAUUUUUUCUGGUGUGCACUGAUUUGGGAAAAAAUGUAGCCAUCCUCAAACAGCAGUAAGACACUGAAUUGUGAAGAAAUCAAUCAAACUAGCAAGCAAAGACAAAGACAAAAAGAACAACAAUAAUAACGAAAAAAAACCUGACAAUGAAAAUAAAAAGUUCAUGUAAAAUAAAAAUAUAAAAUUCUUGUGAUAUUCUUGUGUAAUAAUGGUCUAUUGUGAAGAAGAAUAAAAUGAAGAAUGAUCGUUGCGCAUGCAAGAAAGAAAAUGAAUAUAUUGAAGAAGUUGAAAUUUGGAAUAACUCAAGGCAAUCAACACACACACACACAUACAAAUAUAUAUAUAUAUAUAUAUAUAUAUAUUUAUUUAUUUAUUUAA
Molecule: long non-coding RNA, 1919 nt
Filed under: Physcomitrium patens
Lineage: Eukaryota; Viridiplantae; Streptophyta; Bryopsida; Funariales; Funariaceae
Description: long non-coding RNA (PPAT_LNC002797)
Source: RNAcentral